GGGUUACGGUAGCUUUAAAAGUACGCAAACACCAGAUCUUACGACAAUUUG
RNAcentral lists this small RNA (51 nucleotides) under Caenorhabditis elegans. Its description in RNAcentral is "Unclassified non-coding RNA Y53G8AR.10". The record is from RNAcentral. Lineage: Eukaryota; Metazoa; Nematoda; Chromadorea; Rhabditida; Rhabditidae.